RNAcentral lists this long non-coding RNA (702 nucleotides) under Olea europaea (common olive). RNAcentral's name for it is "long non-coding RNA (OEUR_LNC004351)". Lineage: Eukaryota; Viridiplantae; Streptophyta; Magnoliopsida; Lamiales; Oleaceae. The record is from RNAcentral.
ACCGUUGGAGGGAACUAAAGGACAUUGACGUUGACAAUAGUAAAGAGGGAACUAAAGGACAUGGGAGGGACCAACUCCAUAUGCUUUUCGACUUCAAUUUUGUACAACCUUUUGGCCUCCAAUAUCAAGGUGGUAUCAAAGUUCCUUCACUUAUCGGCAUAUGAAGGGAAAUGGGUCUUAAUAUCAUGAUCGGUGAGCUUCGCUAUCGUAGACGUAAUAACUGCAUGGAUUUUGAUGACAUACUCUCGAGGGAUCGUUGCCCUCACCAGUUCUGUUGAAGAUGUUGAUGAAUCAUGAUGGUUUGCCUGCGAGGUUAGUCAAUCGAGCACUUGGAAAUUGACGAUUGCCAUGAUGUGGUUAACCAUUCUGAGAUCAACAACUUUCACCUAAGAUGGCCAUUGAAGGACUUUGCUAAUCGUGACUCCUUUUGCUUCUAGAGACGGUGAUGCAAGUCCUCAAUCAUUGCCUUCAUUUGGACGUUCCAUUCCUUCAAUUGUUUUGUGUACCAAUAAUAAUUGCUCUCCCAACAUAAAUUCAUUUCAAUUAUGCUACAAAUACAGAAUUUUUUGACAGAAAAACCUUACAUACAUUACAUGGCAUGGCAUUAUUAGAAGACGGGGAGUAAAAAGAAAACACUGUCCACUCAUUCUACUAUUGCAUUAUUAUAAGCAGUAAAAUGACUAAACACACCAUACAGANNNN